RNAcentral lists this ribosomal RNA (406 nucleotides) under uncultured bacterium. Its description in RNAcentral is "partial 16S ribosomal RNA". It matches the Rfam family "Bacterial small subunit ribosomal RNA", at positions 29 to 525 of the family's 1533-position model. The record is from RNAcentral.
AUUGAACGCUGGCGGCAGGCCUAACACAUGCAAGUCGAGCGAGUGGCGGACGGGUGAGUAAUGUCUGGGGAACUGCCCGAUGGAGGGGGAUAACUACUGGAAACGGUGGCUAAUACCGCAUACCAUCGGAUGUGCCCAUAUGGGAUUAGCUAGUAGGUGGGGUAAAGGCUCACCUAGGCGACGAUCCCUAGCUGGUCUGAGAGGAUGACCAACCACACUGGAGAUGGGAAAAGGGCCCGGACCCUACGGGAGGGAGGAGUGGGGAAUAUUGCACAAUGGGGGGAAGCCGUAUGCAGCCAAGGCCGGUGGAUUAAGAAGGCCUUCGGGGUUGAAAGUACUUUUAGCGGGGAGGCGGUACCCGGAGAAGAAGCACCGGCUAACUCCGGUCCAACAGCCGCGGUAAUUA